RNAcentral lists this ribosomal RNA (585 nucleotides) under uncultured bacterium. RNAcentral's name for it is "partial 16S ribosomal RNA". It matches the Rfam family "Bacterial small subunit ribosomal RNA", at positions 355 to 1375 of the family's 1533-position model. The record is from RNAcentral.
UGGGGAAUUUUGGACAAUGGGCGCAAGCCUGAUCCAGCAAUGCCGCGUGCAGGAAGAAGGCCUUCGGGUUGUAAACUGCUUUUGUCAGGGAAGAAAUCUUCUGGGCUAAUACCCCGGGGGGAUGACGGUACCUGAAGAAUAAGCACCGGCUAACUACGUGCCAGCAGCCGCGGUAAUACGUAGGGUGCGAGCGUUAAUCGGAAUUACUGGGCGUAAAGCGUGCGCAGGCGGUUAUGUAAGACAGAUGUGAAAUCCCCGGGCUCAACCUGGGAACUGCAUUUGUGACUGCAUGACUGGAGUGCGGCAGAGGGGGAUGGAAUUCCGCGUGUAGCAGUGAAAUGCGUAGAUAUGCGGAGGAACACCGAUGGCGAAGGCAAUCCCCUGGGCCUGCACUGACGCUCAUGCACGAAAGCGUGGGGAGCAAACAGGAUUAGAUACCCUGGUAGUCCACGCCCUAAACGAUGUCAACUGGUUGUUGGACGGCUUGCUGUUCAGUAACGAAGCUAACGCGUGAAGUUGACCGCCUGGGGAGUACGGCCGCAAGGUUGAAACUUAAAUGAAUUGACGGGGUCAUAGCUGUUUCCU